RNAcentral lists this long non-coding RNA (774 nucleotides) under Trifolium pratense (red clover). Its description in RNAcentral is "long non-coding RNA (TPRA_LNC009066)". Lineage: Eukaryota; Viridiplantae; Streptophyta; Magnoliopsida; Fabales; Fabaceae. The record is from RNAcentral.
AUUGGCCAAAUCUAAUCGAAAAUAUUUGUAUGACUAUAUACAAUUGGUAUAUGGUUUCCUAUAUAUACUACAGAGUAUCCACAAUAUAUGCAAAUAUCUUUAUGGUUUUUAUAAAAUCUAUGUUCCAAAAUAUUUCUAUUUACUUAUUGCUUGUGACUUCAAUUUUUUUUUUGAAGAAACUAAACUAAUCCAUUCAAAUUGGCACCAGAGAUAAUCGAACUCGAGAUCUAAAGGAGGAGCACACUCCCCACUAAAUUCUAAUCUUCUUAGAUUAUAAAUCAAUCAUGUAGGUUUUAUUUAUCCUUCACUAUUGUAGGUCUUCGAAUUUUUUUGCAUUCAUUGGAUUACGCCUUGUAAUAUAUAUAUAUAUAUAUAUAUAUUUCAUUCAAAAGAUAUGAAAAUAUAAGAGAAAUUAUAAGAGUUAAAAUAUUAUAAUGAGCAAUAAAACUAGGAGGUAAUAAUAGAGAAAUAAGACUUACUUUAAUUCUAUCGGGCUUACACAAACACUUUCCACGCACUUCAGUGUUCCAGGAAUAGCAUUUGGGAAAAAUUUAUAGCAAUCUUCAUCACUAUCACACUCUGUAAUGUACAUUAAAAAUAAGGAAAUAUCACUAAAAUAAAUGAAUGAUUGUGUAUAAAAUAAACAAAAUAUAACAUGAGAAUGAGCUUACUAUAUUUUGAACCAAAGACUACAACGAUAAAAAUAGGAACAAAAAGGAUAACAAUAUAAGCAAAUUUGAGAGUUUGAGCCAUUUUUUUUUUCACCUUUGCAUG